GUCCAUACCAUGAGAAUAUGUGAUUUUGGCCAUAAGUUCAAAAUCUAACAGUAUUGAGAACCUGAAGUUCCAACAAUUAAAUGGACAACCCUUGAGGUAUUAUUGCAAAUUGUGGUACGCCACAUAUCUCUUUGGCAUAAGAGAAUGAUGAAUUGAGGCUCCCCACAUAUUUUGUUAUAUCUGGGCCGGAAGCUCAUGAACCCAAAUAUAUGAGAUAUUAGCGUGGCUUUUACUCAAUUCAUAUUUCAUGUCCAUUUUGAAAAGGGCAAAUAAAUUCUGAGUUUGUGUUUAGCCCAGGCCAAAAGUUCCGGGCUCUCAUACGUUGAAAUAUGAAAUUUGGGAGAGUCGAUGUGGUUAUUUGAACCUAUAAGGCACAAGGUUCCAAACCGUCAUUUUGAAAAGACGUAAAAACCACAGGUGCAAAUUUUAAGAAUGUGCGCAAUUAUUAUAACAGGAAAGGAGCAAGUUGAAACGCAGUUGCUCCAAUCAAGUUUUGCAAAGGCAAUAUCUAUAGGAGGAAAUAU
Molecule: long non-coding RNA, 524 nt
Filed under: Prunus persica (peach)
Lineage: Eukaryota; Viridiplantae; Streptophyta; Magnoliopsida; Rosales; Rosaceae
Description: long non-coding RNA (PPER_LNC002645)
Source: RNAcentral